This is a long non-coding RNA of Mastomys coucha (southern multimammate mouse), 631 nucleotides long. RefSeq lists it as uncharacterized. The record is from RefSeq and is a predicted model, not a curated record. Lineage: Eukaryota; Metazoa; Chordata; Mammalia; Rodentia; Muridae. The transcript is spliced from 5 exons.
GCCCUAGGAGCCUUCACAACUGCCUUGAUCCUUCUGACCCAAACAACUGGUCAUUUCAUGCCCCAUGGGAUGCUGGCUGAGGACAUUAAACACAGAUGAGGGGACCAGAUGGAGUUGUGAAAUCUCAUAGGAUGUUGGUGGCAGUUCUUGCUUCCUGGUCCUUCUUCACAACAAUGGUACUCAGAAAAUGCCAGCAGAUGGGGCUCUGGAGAUGGCAAAGAAGAGAAUCCUUGGAGAGAAGAUGUUAUCUGCUGGACACCUUGGGCUCCUCGUCUUGCCAGCCACAGCUCCUGCCAUUGAUAGGGUGGCUCUGCCCAUGCCAGCAUUGAGGCUGAGAAUGUCAUGACUCUGAGAACAUGAGAAAGAUGUGUAUUCAGGCUGUGCCAGAUUGUGGGGAUGAAGAUGGGAAAUCCCAAGACCAGCUGUAAAAAAGAUCUGCAGCUCAAGCGAACCUUCCCAUACCAUGGCUGCCCAGCAAGCAUGCUGUUACACUUCGCAUCCUGGCUCGCCCAACUGUGUUUACAUCUCUUCCUGGUGCUGGAGCCAGAGCCUGGGUUCCUUUUGAAAAAAAUUCUGAAAAUACCUUGGGUUUGUGUUCCUCUGGGCUCUGCAAUAACAAACCUGUUCUGUG